Molecule: ribosomal RNA, 263 nt
Filed under: uncultured bacterium
Lineage: Bacteria
Description: partial 16S rRNA
Rfam family: Bacterial small subunit ribosomal RNA
Source: RNAcentral
GUGUCAGCCGCCGCGGUAAUACGUAGGUGGCGAGCGUUGUCCGGAAUUAUUGGGCGUAAAGAGCGCGUAGGCGGGUAGAUAAGUCUGUUUUAAAAGUGCGGGGCUCAACCCCGUGAUGGAAUGGAAACUGUUUAUCUUGAGUACCGGAGAGGAAAGUGGAAUUCCCAGUGUAGCGGUGAAAUGCGUAUAUAUUGGGAGGAACACCAGUGGAGAAGGCGACUUUCUGGACGGUGUCUGACGCUGAGGCGCGAAAGCCAGGGAAG